UUUCUAUGAUGAAUCAAACUAGCUCACUAUGACUUAAACAGUGAAAAGACAUGAACAUCUGAGAAAC
Molecule: small nucleolar RNA, 67 nt
Organism: Capra hircus (goat)
Lineage: Eukaryota; Metazoa; Chordata; Mammalia; Artiodactyla; Bovidae
Source: Ensembl